This 497-nucleotide ribosomal RNA is filed under the name uncultured bacterium. RNAcentral's name for it is "partial 16S ribosomal RNA". It matches the Rfam family "Bacterial small subunit ribosomal RNA", at positions 28 to 507 of the family's 1533-position model. The record is from RNAcentral.
GAUGAACGCUGGCGGCGUGCCUAAUACAUGCAAGUCGAGCGAACGGACGAGAAGCUUGCUUCUCUGAUGUUAGCGGCGGACGGGUGAGUAACACGUGGAUAACCUACCUAUAAGACUGGGAUAACUUCGGGAAACCGGAUCUAAUACCGGAUAAUAUUUUGAACCGCAUGGUUCAAAAGUGAAAGACGGUCUUGCUGUCACUUAUAGAUGGAUCCGCGCUGCAUUAGCUAGUUGGUAAGGUAACGGCUUACCAAGGCAACGAUGCAUAGCCGACCUGAGAGGGUGAUCGGCCACACUGGAACUGAGACACGGCCCAGACUCCUACGGGAGGCAGCAGUAGGGAAUCUUCCGCAAAGGGCGAAAGCCUGACGGAGCAACGCCGCGUGAGUGAUGAAGGUCUUCGGAUCGUAAAACUCUGUUAUUAGGGAAGAACAUAUGUGUAAGUAACUGUGCACAUCUUGACGGUACCUAAUCAGAAAGCCACGGCUAACUACGUG